RNAcentral lists this ribosomal RNA (460 nucleotides) under uncultured bacterium. Its description in RNAcentral is "partial 16S ribosomal RNA". It matches the Rfam family "Bacterial small subunit ribosomal RNA", at positions 338 to 795 of the family's 1533-position model. The record is from RNAcentral.
CCUACGGGAGGCAGCAGUGAGGAAUAUUGGUCAAUGGGCGCGAGCCUGAACCAGCCAAGUCGCGUGAGGGAGGACGGCCCUACGGGUUGUAAACCUCUUUUGCCGGGGAGCAACGGGCGCCACGUGUGGCGUCACUGAGAGUACCCGGAGAAAAAGCAUCGGCUAACUCCGUGCCAGCAGCCGCGGUAAUACGGAGGAUGCGAGCGUUAUCCGGAUUUAUUGGGUUUAAAGGGUGCGGAGGGGGAGCGUUAAGUCAGUGGUAAAAUUGAGGGGCUCACCCCCUUCCCGCCAUUGAAACUGGCGUUCUUGAGUGGAAGAGAAGUAGGCGGAAUGCGUGGUGUAGCGGUGAAAUGCAUAGAUAUCACGCAGAACACCGAUUGCGAAGGCAGCAUGCCGGCCUCCGACUGACGCUGAAGCACGAAAGCGUGGGGAUCGAACAGGAUUAGAUACCCCUGUAGUC